AUUGAACGCUGGCGGCAUGCCUUACACAUGCAAGCCGAACGGUAACAGGUCUUCGGAUGCUGACGAGUGGCGAACGGGUGAGUAAUGCAUCGGAACGUGCCAUUGAGUGGGGGAUAACGUAGCGAAAGUUACGCUAAUACCGCAUAUUCUCUCCGGAGGAAAGCAGGGGAUCGUAAGAACUUGUGCUCUUUGAGCGGCCGAUGUCGGAUUAGCCAGUUGGUGAGGUAAAGGCUCACCAAGGCUACGAUCCGUAGCGGGUCUGAGAGGAUGAUCCGCCACACUGGGACUGAGACACGGCCCAGACUCCUACGGGAGGCAGCAGUGGGGAAUUUUGGACAAUGGGCGCAAGCCUGAUCCAGCCAUGCCGCGUGAGUGAAGAAGGCCUUCGGGUUGUAAAGCUCUUUCAGCCGGGAAGAAAACGCAUGGGUUAAUACCCUGUGCAGAUGACGGUACCGGAAUAAGAAGCACCGGCUAACUACGUGCCAGCAGCCGCAGUAA
RNAcentral lists this ribosomal RNA (498 nucleotides) under uncultured bacterium. RNAcentral's name for it is "partial 16S ribosomal RNA". It matches the Rfam family "Bacterial small subunit ribosomal RNA", at positions 30 to 523 of the family's 1533-position model. The record is from RNAcentral.